CCAGACUCCUACGGGAGGCAGCAGUGGGGAAUAUUGCACAAUGGGGGAAACCCUGAUGCAGCGACGCCGCGUGAGUGAAGAAGUAUUUCGGUAUGUAAAGCUCUAUCAGCAGGGAAGAAAAUGACGGUACCUGAUUAAGAAGCCCCGGCUAACUACGUGCCAGCAGCCGCGGUAAUACGUAGGGGGCAAGCGUUAUCCGGAUUUACUGGGUGUAAAGGGAGCGCAGGCGGCGCGGUAAGUCUGACGUGAAAGCCCGGGGCUCAACCCCGGGACUGCAUUGGAAACUGUCGUGCUGGAGUGUCGGAGGGGCAAGUGGAAUUCCUAGUGUAGCGGUGAAAUGCGUAGAUAUUAGGAGGAACACCAGUGGCGAAGGCGGCUUGCUGGACGACAACUGACGCUGAGGCUCGAAAGCGUGGGGAGCAAACAGGAUUAGAUACCCCAGUA
Molecule: ribosomal RNA, 444 nt
Filed under: uncultured bacterium
Lineage: Bacteria
Description: bacterial SSU rRNA
Rfam family: Bacterial small subunit ribosomal RNA
Source: RNAcentral